RNAcentral lists this ribosomal RNA (392 nucleotides) under Pseudo-nitzschia sp. RNAcentral's name for it is "partial small subunit ribosomal RNA". It matches the Rfam family "Eukaryotic small subunit ribosomal RNA", at positions 582 to 975 of the family's 1831-position model. Lineage: Eukaryota; Bacillariophyta; Bacillariophyceae; Bacillariales; Bacillariaceae. The record is from RNAcentral.
AUUCCAGCUCCAAUAGCGUAUAUUAAAGUUGUUGCAGUUAAAAAGCUCGUAGUUGGAUUUGUGGUGUGUCCAGUCGGCCUUUGCUCUUUGAGUGAUUGUGCUGUACUGGUCUGCCAUGUUUGGGUGGAAUCUGUGUGGCAUUAGGUUGUCGUGCAGGGGAUGCCCAUCGUUUACUGUGAAAAAAUUAGAGUGUUCAAAGCAGGCUUAUGCCGUUGAAUAUAUUAGCAUGGAAUAAUGAUAUAGGACCUUGGUACUAUUUUGUUGGUUUGCGCACUAAGGUAAUGAUUAAGAGGGACAGUUGGGGGUAUUUGUAUUCCAUUGUCAGAGGUGAAAUUCUUGGAUUUUUGGAAGACAAACUACUGCGAAAGCAUUUACCAAGGAUGUUUUCAUUA